CCUUCGGGGUACACGAGCGGCGAACGGGUGAGUAACACGUGGGUGAUCUGCCCUGCACUUCGGGAUAAGCCUGGGAAACUGGGUCUAAUACCGGAUAUGACCUUCGGCUGCAUGGCUGAGGGUGGAAAGGUUUACUGGUGCAGGAUGAGCCCGCGGCCUAUCAGCUUGUUGGUGGGGUAAUGGCCUACCAAGGCGACGACGGGUAGCCGACCUGAGAGGGUGACCGGCCACACUGGGACUGAGACACGGCCCAGACUCCUACGGGAGGCAGCAGUGGGGAAUAUUGCACAAUGGGCGAAAGCCUGAUGCAGCGACGCCGCGUGAGGGAUGACGGCCUUCGGGUUGUAAACCUCUUUCAGCAGGGACGAAGCGAAAGUGACGGUACCUGCAGAAGAAGCACCGGCCAACUACGUGCCAGCAGCCGCGGUAAUACGUAGGGUGCAAGCGUUGUCCGGAAUUACUGGGCGUAAAGAGCUCGUAGGCGGUUUGUCGCGUCGUCUGUGAAAACUCNAGGCUCAACCUCGAGCUUGCAGGCGAUACGGGCAGACUUGAGUACUGCAGGGGAGACUGGAAUUCCUGGUGUAGCGGUGAAAUGCGCAGAUAUCAGGAGGAACACCGGUGGCGAAGGCGGGUCUCUGGGCAGUAACUGACGCUGAGGAGCGAAAGCGUGGGUAGCNAACAGGAUUAGAUACCCUGGUAGUCCACGCCGUAAACGGUGGGCGCUAGGUGUGGGUUCCUUCC
RNAcentral lists this ribosomal RNA (741 nucleotides) under uncultured bacterium. RNAcentral describes it as "bacterial SSU rRNA". It matches the Rfam family "Bacterial small subunit ribosomal RNA", at positions 77 to 834 of the family's 1533-position model. The record is from RNAcentral.